AACAUGCAAGUCGACGAUGAACCUCACUUGUGGGGGGAUUAGUGGCGAACGGGUGAGUAACACGUGAGUAACCUGCCCUUGACUCUGGGAUAAGCCUGGGAAACCGGGUCUAAUACUGGAUACGACCUUCUGGCGCAUGCCAUGUUGGUGGAAAGCUUUUGUGGUUUUGGAUGGACUCGCGGCCUAUCAGCUUGUUGGUGGGGUAAUGGCCUACCAAGGCGACGACGGGUAGCCGGCCUGAGAGGGUGACCGGCCACACUGGGACUGAGACACGGCCCAGACUCCUACGGGAGGCAGCAGUGGGGAAUAUUGCACAAUGGGCGCAAGCCUGAUGCAGCGACGCCGCGUGAGGGAUGAAGGCCUUCGGGUUGUAAACCUCUUUCAGUAGGGAAGAAGCCGCUCCUUUUUGGGGGUGGUGACGGUACCUGCAGAAGAAGCGCCGGCUAACUACGUGCCAGCAGCCGCGGUAAUACGUAGGGCGCAAGCGUUAUCCGGAAUUAUUGGGCGUAAAGAGCUCGUAGGCGGUUUGUCGCGUCUGCCGUGAAAGUCCGGGGCUUAACUCCGGAUCUGCGGUGGGUACGGGCAGACUAGAGUGCAGUAGGGGAGACUGGAAUUCCUGGUGUAGCGGUGAAAUGCGCAGAUAUCAGGAGGAACACCGAUGGCGAAGGCAGGUCUCUGGGCUGUAACUGACGCUGAGGAGCGAAAGCAUGGGGAGCGAACAGGAUUAGAUACCCUGGUAGUCCAUGCCGUAAACGUUGGGCACUAGGU
Molecule: ribosomal RNA, 768 nt
Filed under: Arthrobacter sp. N4_00_3
Lineage: Bacteria; Bacillati; Actinomycetota; Actinomycetes; Micrococcales; Micrococcaceae
Description: bacterial SSU rRNA
Rfam family: Bacterial small subunit ribosomal RNA
Source: RNAcentral